Blumeria graminis is the source of this 81-nucleotide non-coding RNA. The record is from Rfam. Lineage: Eukaryota; Fungi; Ascomycota; Leotiomycetes; Helotiales; Erysiphaceae.
GCCCCCGUAGCUCAAUGGUAGAGCGCGUCACUAGUAAUAUGUUAAAUGACGAGGUUGACGGUUCGAUUCCGUUCGAGGGCA